UGGGGAAUAUUGGACAAUGGGCGAAAGCCUGAUCCAGCCAUGCCGCGUGAUGGACGAAGUGCUUCGGCACGUAAACAUCUUUUAUGUGGGAUGAAAUUAUUGACAGUACCACAUGAAUAAGGGGCUCCUAACUCUGUGCCAGCAGGAGCGGUAAUACAGAGGCCCCAAGCGUUAUCCGGAAUCACUGGGCGUAAAGGGUGUCGAGGCGGUUGUAUUAGUCGUUCGUAAAAUCUACGAGCUUAACUUGUAGGCGGCGAACGAAACGGUACGACUUGAGGUUUGGAGAGGUGCGUGGAACUCACGGUGUAGGGGUGAAAUCCGUUGAUAUCGGAAGGAACAUCAGUUGCGAAGGCGGCUCUCUGGACUCAAACUGACGCUGAGGCACGAAAGCGUGGGUAGCGAACAGGAUUAGAUACCCUCGUAGUCCCUGAGCGGGCUGG
Molecule: ribosomal RNA, 440 nt
Filed under: uncultured bacterium
Lineage: Bacteria
Description: bacterial SSU rRNA
Rfam family: Bacterial small subunit ribosomal RNA
Source: RNAcentral